This 496-nucleotide ribosomal RNA is filed under the name uncultured bacterium. RNAcentral describes it as "partial 16S ribosomal RNA". It matches the Rfam family "Bacterial small subunit ribosomal RNA", at positions 28 to 507 of the family's 1533-position model. The record is from RNAcentral.
GACGAACGCUGGCGGCGUGCCUAAUACAUGCAAGUUGAGCGCUGAAGGUUGGUACUUGUACCAACUGGAUGAGCAGCGAACGGGUGAGUAACGCGUGGGGAAUCUGCCUUUGAGCGGGGUCAACAUUUGGAAACGAAUGCUAAUACCGCAUAAAAACUUUAAACACAAGUUUUAAGUUUGAAAGAUGCAAUUGCAUCACUCAAAGAUGAUCCCGCGUUGUAUUAGCUAGUUGGUGAGGUAAAGGCUCACCAAGGCGAUGAUACAUAGCCGACCUGAGAGGGUGAUCGGCCACAUUGGGACUGAGACACGGCCCAAACUCCUACGGGAGGCAGCAGUAGGGAAUCUUCGGCAAUGGACGAAAGUCUGACCGAGCAACGCCGCGUGAGUGAAGAAGGUUUUCGGACCGUAAAACUCUGUUGGUAGAGAAGAACGUUGGUGAGAGUGGAAAGCUCAUCAAGUGACGGUAACUACCCAGAAAGGGACGGCUAACUACGUG